Molecule: ribosomal RNA, 446 nt
Filed under: uncultured bacterium
Lineage: Bacteria
Description: partial 16S ribosomal RNA
Rfam family: Bacterial small subunit ribosomal RNA
Source: RNAcentral
CCUACGGGUGGCUGCAGUCGAGAAUCAUUCACAAUGGGGGAAACCCUGAUGGUGCGACGCCGCGUGGGGGAAUGAAGGUCUUCGGAUUGUAAACCCCUGUCAUGUGGGAGCAAAUUAAAAAGAUAGUACCACAAGAGGAAGAGACGGCUAACUCUGUGCCAGCAGCCGCGGUAAUACAGAGGUCUCAAGCGUUGUUCGGAAUCACUGGGCGUAAGGCGUGCGUAGGCUGUUUCGUAAGUCGUGUGUGAAAGGCGCGGGCUCAACCCGCGGACGGCACAUGAUACUGCGAGACUAGAGUAAUGGAGGGGGAACCGGAAUGCUCGGUGUAGCAGUGAAAUGCGUAGAUAUCGAGAGGAACACUCGUGGCGAAGGCGGGUUCCUGGACAUUAACUGACGCUGAGGCACGAAGGCCAGGGGAGCGAAAGGGAUUAGAUACCCGAGUAGUC